Molecule: long non-coding RNA, 1054 nt
Filed under: Sinocyclocheilus grahami
Lineage: Eukaryota; Metazoa; Chordata; Actinopteri; Cypriniformes; Cyprinidae
Description: lncRNA (ENSSGRG00000009811.1)
Source: RNAcentral
AAGUCCUCUCUUAAUGUCUUUGUUUUAUUUUAAUUUCUUCAGAGAAUCAAACAUCGAUGUUUACUUGCUUGAAAAAGAGAACAGUUUCACAACCACAGUGAGGAAAUUCAAGGACAUCGGCCCAGAUUUGAACUUUAAUUUAAAGGUUUCUACAGGAGUGGUCCCAGUCAGCCUGGUUUACCUCACUGUCUCUUUGCCCAACAGCACCAAAGCAGGAAAUCCUCUCCUCUACACGACCAGCAUUAAAACCUCACCUGUGAGGAUCCAUAACCUCACAUUUACACACACAAUCCAUCAUAAACAUGAGCGAACGCAUUGUCUGUGAAUGUGGAAAUGAUUUGACAUGAUAUUUCCAGGCUGAAAAAAUCCAUUGUGCAGACAGUCAACUGAUCGACCCGUUUAAGAUCAGCGAGAAACCUUAUAUGGUCCGAUUCAAAGAGGAGAGUUUUAGAGGAACAGAUGAACUGGUCAGUGCUUGUGGAUCUUCAUCUAAAAAAUUCUUGAAAUCCAAGACUGCCAAAAACAUUGGCUUUUGUUACUGAUCGUGACACACAAAGGAAGUACUAAUGAAUGAAGUAUGAAACCCAGUAAUAAUUAUUUGUGUAAUAAUGUUUUUAAUUUGAUCUAGGUGGAGUUGAUUUGCAUGAUGACUAAUCCUGUCUCCGAUUACAAAAUAACAGGAUGUCUUCAUUUCCAUCCGUACUGAUCAUCUGUUCACCAUCCACAGAACUGCAAAACGGCCAAAUGCCGCUUACUGCAAUGCGUCCUGAAGGGCCUACAGGAGAAGAGUGAUUAUUAUGUGAAUGUAACGACAAACAUAUGGAAUGGUACCUUUGCAAUGGUAAAUAAACUCAUCUCAGUGCUUUUCUUGUAUCGGUCUGGGCUAAUAUUGGGGUUAACAGUGUUUGUUUAUUACAGGCUGAUUUUCUGUACACCGUGCUCUCUGUGAGAGCUGAUAUAGAGACGUCUCAACCGGAGCUGCUGUUCAUCAAACAGAAACACCUGCAGGUACAGUCAAAUCAAGCCGGAUCAAUCAUUUGGAAAUUAUUUUUUU